ACGCUGGCGGCACGCCUAACACAUGCAAGUCGAACGAAGUAGCAAUACUUAGUGGCAGACGGGUGAGUAACAUGUAGGUAUCUGCCCUUUGGCCUGGAAUAACACGAGGAAACUUGUGCUAAUACCGGAUAAGUCUUUACGGAGAAAGCUUUAUGCACCAUUGGAUGAGCCUGCACUUGAUUAGUUUGUUGGUGGGGUAAUGGCCUACCAAGACUGUGAUCAAUAGCUGAUUUGAGAGGAUGAUCAGCCACAUUGGGACUGAGACACGGCCCAAACUCCUACGGGAGGCAGCAGUGGGGAAUCUUGCACAAUGGAGGAAACUCUGAUGCAGCGAUGCCGCGUGAGUGAAGAAGGCCCUUGGGUUGUAAAGCUCUUUCGUCGGGGAAGAAAAUGACUGUACCCGAAUAAGAAGGUCCGGCUAACUUCGUGCCAGCAGCCGCGGUAAUACGAAGGGACCUAGCGUAGUUCGGAAUUACUGGGCUUAAAGAGUUCGUAGGUGGUUGAAAAAGUUAGUGGUGAAAUCCCAGAGCUUAACUCUGGAACUGCCAUUAAAACUUUUCAGCUAGAGUAUGAUAGAGGAAAGCAGAAUUUCUAGUGUAGAGGUGGAAUUCGUAGAUAUUAGAAAGAAUACCAAUUGCGAAGGCAGCUUUCUGGAUCAUUACUGACACUGAGGAACGAAAGCAUGGGUAGCGAAGAGGAUUAGAUACCCUCGUAGUCCAUGCCGUAAACGAUGUGUGUUAGACGUUGGAAAUUUAUUUUCAGUGUCGCAGGGAAACCGAUAAACACACCGCCUGGGGAGUACGACCGCAAGGUUAAAACUCAAAUGAAUUGACGGGGACCCGCACAAGUAGUGGAGCAUGUGGUUUAAUUCGAAGAUACGCGCAGAACCUUACCAACACUUGACAUGUUCGUCGCGACUCUAAGAGAUUAGAGUUUUCGGUUCGGCCGGACGAAACACAGGUGCUGCAUGGCUGUCGUCAGCUCGUGUCGUGAGAUGUUGGGUUAAGUCCCGCAACGAGCGCAACCCUCACUUUUAGUUGCCAUCAUUAAGUUGGGCACUCUGAAAGAACUGCCAGUGAUAAGCUGGAGGAAGGUGGGGAUGACGUCAAGUCCUCAUGGCCCUUACGUGUUGGGCUACACACGUGCUACAAUGGUAUCUACAACAGGAAGCAAAACUGCGAAGUUAAGCAAAUCCCUAAAAGAUACCUCAGUUCGGAUUGCACUCUGCAACUCGAGUGCAUGAAGCUGGAAUUACUAGUAAUCGUGGAUCAGCGUGCCACGGUGAAUGCGUUCCCGGGUCUUGUACACACCGC
RNAcentral lists this ribosomal RNA (1313 nucleotides) under uncultured bacterium. RNAcentral's name for it is "16S ribosomal RNA". It matches the Rfam family "Bacterial small subunit ribosomal RNA", at positions 33 to 1393 of the family's 1533-position model. The record is from RNAcentral.